This 233-nucleotide unclassified non-coding RNA is filed under the name Hysteriales sp. RNAcentral describes it as "partial contains 5.8S ribosomal RNA, internal transcribed spacer 2, and large subunit ribosomal RNA". The record is from RNAcentral. Lineage: Eukaryota; Fungi; Ascomycota; Dothideomycetes; Hysteriales.
CGCACAUUGCGCCCUUUGGUAUUCCGAGGGGCAUGCCUGUUCGAGCGUCAUUUCAACCAUCAAGCCUAGCUUGGUAUUAGACCCGGCCUUGGGGCCAGUCCGCAACUAGUUGGCGGUACCGUCCGGCCUCGAGCGUAGCAGAAACCUCGCUUCUGGGUUGAUACGGCGUCUGCCGGUGAAGCCAUUCUCUGAAGUUUGACCUCGGAUCAGGUAGGGAUACCCGCUGAACUUAA